CCUGUGUGCAUCUGUGGGACAGCCUGGCCACAGCAGCCUCUUCCCUCCCCUCAGGUGUUUGGCACUCUGGAGCAAGCCAAGAAGUACAUGCUGGACAACUACUCAGCAGUCAGGUCACCAUGGAGGACGUCUUCCUGAGCUUCGCCUGCCCUGUGCCCCUAGUCCAAAGUGAAGACCAACGAGAGCAAGCAGAGCAGAAUCCCCUGCCCAGAUGGUUUGUCCAUCCAGUGCACUCCCUCCCAAGGCAGGCCAUGCCGCCCAACGCACCCUGAGAUGCGAGAUGCAGCAAAGCAGUGGCUCUGCAGAACUUCGGGUAGAGUUUGGAUGGGUGCGUGGAGGUUUCCACACAUGUGUGCAGAUCCCUUGGAAAGCAGGAUAGAGCCAGAAACAGAGAGGAGGGUGCCCGUAGGCCGGUGGGGGCUGGCUCCCAUGGUCACAUGCAAGAGUGAAGCUUCAUGGAGACCAUGAUUCGAAACUCACACCUGGCCUCACAGGUGGUCAUGUCACUGUUCUUCUGAAGGAAGGAGGAAAUAAAUAUUGACAAGUUUGCUAGCCUAAGUCGGG
Molecule: long non-coding RNA, 564 nt
Filed under: Pan troglodytes (chimpanzee)
Lineage: Eukaryota; Metazoa; Chordata; Mammalia; Primates; Hominidae
Description: long non-coding RNA NONPTRT005889
Source: RNAcentral